This 66-nucleotide transfer RNA is filed under the name Cheirogaleus medius (lesser dwarf lemur). RNAcentral describes it as "tRNA-Trp". Lineage: Eukaryota; Metazoa; Chordata; Mammalia; Primates; Cheirogaleidae. The record is from RNAcentral.
AAAUUUAGGUUAAACAGACCAAGAGCCUUCAAAGCCCUAAGUAAGUAGAUAUAUACUUAAUUUCUG